ACGUAGGAGGCAAGCGUUAUCCGGAGUUACUGGGCGUAAAGCGUGCGCAGGCGGAUUGUUAAGCAAGACGUGAAAUCCCCGGGCUUAACCUGGGAACUGCGUUUGUGACUGUAGGGCUUGAGUGCGGCAGAGGGGGGUGGAAUUCCACGUGUAGCAGUGAAAUGCGUAGAGAUGUGGGGGAACACCGAUGGCGAAGGCAGCCCCCUGGGACAUGACUGACGCUCAGGUACGAAAGCGUGGGGAGCAAACAG
Molecule: ribosomal RNA, 251 nt
Filed under: uncultured prokaryote
Description: partial 16S ribosomal RNA
Rfam family: Bacterial small subunit ribosomal RNA
Source: RNAcentral